Molecule: ribosomal RNA, 253 nt
Filed under: uncultured bacterium
Lineage: Bacteria
Description: partial 16S ribosomal RNA
Rfam family: Bacterial small subunit ribosomal RNA
Source: RNAcentral
UACAGGGGGUGCAAACGUUGCUCGGAAUUAUUGGGCGUAAAGCGCGCGUAGGCGGCUACUUAAGUCGGAUGUGAAAGCCCCUGGCUCAACUGGGGAAGUGCACCCGAAACUGAGUGGCUUGAGUGCGAAAGAGGGUCGCGGAAUUCCCGGUGUAGAGGUGAAAUUCGUAGAUAUCGGGAGGAACACCGGUGGCGAAGGCGGCGACCUGGGUCGAGACUGACGCUGAGGCGCGAAAGCGUGGGGAGCAAACAGG